Molecule: ribosomal RNA, 440 nt
Filed under: uncultured bacterium
Lineage: Bacteria
Description: partial 16S ribosomal RNA
Rfam family: Bacterial small subunit ribosomal RNA
Source: RNAcentral
CCUACGGGAUGCAGCAGUGGGGGAUAUUGCACAAUGGGGGAAACCCUGAUGCAGCGACGCCGCGUGAGUGAAGAAGUAUUUCGGUAUGUAAAGCUCUAUCAGCAGGGAAGAAAAUGACAGUACCUGACCAAGAAGCCCCGGCUAACUACGUGCCAGCAGCCGCGGUAAUACGUAGGGGGCAAGCGUUAUCCGGAUUUACUGGGUGUAAAGGGAGCGUAGACGGUUAUGUAAGUCUGGGGUGAAAGCCCGGGGCCCAACCCCGGGACUGCUUUGGAAACUGUGUAACUGGAGUGCAGGAGGGGCAGGAGGAAUUCCUGGUGUAGCGGUGAAAUGCGUAGAUAUCAGGAGGAAUACCGUUAGCGAAGGCGGCAAUCUGGCUGGAAACUGACGCUGAGGUGCGAAAGCGUGGGUAGCAAACAGGAUUAGAUACCCCUGUAGUC